UNUGACUUGAGUGCAGAAGGGGAGAGUGGAAUUCCAUGUGUAGCGGUGAAAUGCGUAGAUAUAUGGAGGANCACCAGUGGCGAAAGCGGCUCUCUGGUCUGUCACUGACGCUGAGGCUCGAAAGCGUGGGUAGCGANCAGGAUUAGAUACCCUGGUAGUNCACGCCGUAAACGAUGAGUGCUAGGUGUUAGGCCCUUUCCGGGGCUUAGUGCCGGAGCUAACGCAAUAAGCACUCCGCCUGGGGAGUACGACCGCAAGGUUGAAGCUCAAAGGAAUUGACGGGGGCCCGCACAAGCGGUGGAGCAUGUGGUUUAAUUCGAAGCAACGCGAAGAACCUUACCAGGUCUUGACAUCCCGAUGCUAUUCUUAGAGAUAGGAAGUUACUUCGGUACAUCGGAGACAGGUGGUGCAUGGUUGUCGUCAGCUCGUGUCGUGAGAUGUUGGGUUAAGUCCCGCAACGAGCGCAACCCUUAUUGUUAGUUGCCAACAUUAAGUUGGGCACUCUAGCGAGACUGCCGGUAAUAAACCGGAGGAAGGUGGGGAUGACGUCAAAUCAUCAUGCCCCUUAUGACCUGGGCUACACACGUGCUACAAUGGUCGGUACAACGAGUUGCGAGCCGGUGACGGCAAGCUAAUCUCUGAAAGCCGAUCUCAGUUCGGAUUGGAGGCUGCAACUCGCCUCCAUGAAGUCGGAAUCGCUAGUAAUCGCGGAUCAGCACGCCGCGGUGAAUACGUUCCCGGGCCUUGUACACACCGCCCGUCACACCACGAGAGUUUGUAACACCCGAAGUCGGUGAGGUAACCUUUUAGGGGCCAGCCGCCU
RNAcentral lists this ribosomal RNA (823 nucleotides) under uncultured bacterium. Its description in RNAcentral is "bacterial SSU rRNA". It matches the Rfam family "Bacterial small subunit ribosomal RNA", at positions 636 to 1458 of the family's 1533-position model. The record is from RNAcentral.